AUUGAACGCUGGCGGAAUGCUUUACACAUGCAAGUCGAACGGCAGCACGGGAGCUUGCUCCUGGUGGCGAGUGGCGAACGGGUGAGUAAUGUAUCGGAACGUACCCGUCGUGGGGGAUAACUCUCCGAAAGGAGUGCUAAUACCGCAUACGACCUGAGGGUGAAAGCGGGGGACCUGCAAGGGCCUCGCGCGAUGGGAGCGGCCGAUAUCGGAUUAGCUAGUUGGUGAGGUAAAGGCUCACCAAGGCGACGAUCCGUAGCGGGUCUGAGAGGACGACCCGCCACACUGGAACUGAGACACGGUCCAGACUCCUACGGGAGGCAGCAGUGGGGAAUUUUGGACAAUGGGGGAAACCCUGAUCCAGCCAUUCCGCGUGAGUGAAGAAGGCC
RNAcentral lists this ribosomal RNA (389 nucleotides) under uncultured bacterium. Its description in RNAcentral is "bacterial SSU rRNA". It matches the Rfam family "Bacterial small subunit ribosomal RNA", at positions 29 to 416 of the family's 1533-position model. The record is from RNAcentral.